UGCCAGUGGAUGCCAGGCCUGAGGAAGGCUA
RNAcentral lists this non-coding RNA (31 nucleotides) under Homo sapiens (human). Lineage: Eukaryota; Metazoa; Chordata; Mammalia; Primates; Hominidae. The record is from RNAcentral.